This 253-nucleotide ribosomal RNA is filed under the name uncultured bacterium. RNAcentral's name for it is "partial 16S ribosomal RNA". It matches the Rfam family "Bacterial small subunit ribosomal RNA", at positions 524 to 776 of the family's 1533-position model. The record is from RNAcentral.
UACGUAGGUCGCAAGCGUUGUCCGGAUUUACUGGGCGUAAAGAGCGCGCAGGCGGCUGGUCAAGUCCGAUGUGAAAUCUCCCGGCUCAACUGGGAAACUGCAUCGGAAACUGAUCGGCUUGAAGAUGGGAGAGGGUAGUGGAAUUCCCGGUGUAGUGGUGAAAUGCGUAGAUAUCGGGAGGAACACCAGUGGCGAAGGCGACUACCUGGCGCAUUCUUGACGCUGAGGCGCGAAAGCUAGGGGAGCGAACGGG